Molecule: small RNA, 22 nt
Filed under: Arabidopsis thaliana (thale cress)
Lineage: Eukaryota; Viridiplantae; Streptophyta; Magnoliopsida; Brassicales; Brassicaceae
Description: Ath_wt_04736
Source: RNAcentral
CCAAACUUGGCAUGUGAUACCU